Molecule: ribosomal RNA, 253 nt
Filed under: uncultured bacterium
Lineage: Bacteria
Description: partial 16S ribosomal RNA
Rfam family: Bacterial small subunit ribosomal RNA
Source: RNAcentral
UACGUAGGUGGCGAGCGUUGUCCGGAUUUACUGGGCGUAAAGCGCGCGCAGGCGGCCGGCCAAGUCCGAUGUGAGAUCUUCCGGCUUAACUGGAAAACGGCAUCGGAUACUGGUCGGCUGGAAGGUGGGAGAGGGUAGCGGAAUUCCCGGUGUAGUGGUGAAAUGCGUAGAUAUCGGGAGGAACACCAGUGGCGAAAGCGACUCUCUGGUCAACUUCUGACGCUGAGGCGCGAAAGCUAGGGGAGCAAACAGG